This 369-nucleotide ribosomal RNA is filed under the name uncultured Glomeromycotina. RNAcentral describes it as "LSU rRNA". Lineage: Eukaryota; Fungi; Glomeromycota. The record is from RNAcentral.
UUGAAAGGGAAACGAUUGAAGUCAGUCGUGCUGGCGCGAAAUCAACCUUCUCGUCUUGAGAUCACAUGGCGUGGCGAGCCCCAAAACCGUCACGAAGCGUGAACUCUUGGUGAAAUGGAGCACUUUCGUGUCCGCUGGUUAACAUCAAUUUCGAACGUCAUAAAAAGGCUGGAGGGAUGUGGCUCCUUCGGGAGUGUUAUAACCUUUAGCGGAAUGUGGUGUUCGGGAUUGAGGAUUGCAACGAAUACCUUUAGGGCUGUUCCACCUGGCUUCUCUUUGGUAUCCUGGUGACGACAGCUUGCUGACGUCGUUAGGAUUCGCCUUUGAACAGGCUAGAGUGUGAGCAAAUUCGUUAAGGAUGUUGACGUA